Molecule: microRNA precursor, 153 nt
Filed under: Olea europaea subsp. europaea
Lineage: Eukaryota; Viridiplantae; Streptophyta; Magnoliopsida; Lamiales; Oleaceae
Description: MIR403 microRNA precursor family
Rfam family: MIR403 microRNA precursor family
Source: Rfam by way of RNAcentral
UCAGAUUUCAAGUUUGUGCGUGAAUCUGAUGAGUUGAGUACGCACUUGAUCUGGGGGAUGUUGAUAGUCAAUUCUAUCAACAUUUUCCUGAUUUGAUAAUCAAUCGGUGUUGUAUUAGUUUGUUAGAUUCACGCACAAACUCGUAAUCUGUCU